UACGGAGGGGGCUAGCGUUGUUCGGAAUUACUGGGCGUAAAGCGCGCGUAGGCGGCUUUGUAAGUUAGAGGUGAAAGCCCGGAGCUUAACUCCGGAACUGCCUUUAAGACUGCAUCGCUAGAAUUGUGGAGAGGUAAGUGGAAUUCCGAGUGUAGAGGUGAAAUUCGUAGAUAUUCGGAAGAACACCAGUGGCGAAGGCGACUUACUGGACACAUAUUGACGCUGAGGUGCGAAAGCGUGGGGAGCAAACAGG
This 253-nucleotide ribosomal RNA is filed under the name uncultured bacterium. RNAcentral describes it as "partial 16S ribosomal RNA". It matches the Rfam family "Bacterial small subunit ribosomal RNA", at positions 524 to 776 of the family's 1533-position model. The record is from RNAcentral.